RNAcentral lists this ribosomal RNA (253 nucleotides) under uncultured bacterium. RNAcentral describes it as "partial 16S ribosomal RNA". It matches the Rfam family "Bacterial small subunit ribosomal RNA", at positions 524 to 776 of the family's 1533-position model. The record is from RNAcentral.
UACAGAGGGAGCUAGCGUUGUUCGGAAUUACUGGGCGUAAAGCGCGCGCAGGCGGCUUUUCAAGUCAGGUGUGAAAGCCCGGGGCUUAACCUCGGAAUUGCACUUGAAACUGGAUUGCUAGAGUAUGGUAGGGGAGAGGGGAAUUCCUAGUGUAGCGGUGAAAUGCGUAGAGAUUAGGAGGAACACCAGUGGCGAAGGCGCCUCUCUGGGCCAUGACUGACGCUGAGGCGCGAAAGCGUGGGGAGCAAACAGG